CUUGCUCUUGAUCCUACGUGCAACAUCUGUGGAAAUGGUGUGGAAAAUGAAUUCCAUGCAGUAGUUGAAUGUACUAGAAGCAGGGCUCUAAGACAUGAGAUGAGAGAGCUCUGGGCUCUUCCCUCCGAGCUAGCUUUCAGGUUUACCGGUACUGACUGGCUGCAGCAUCUGCUCGGCACUUGUUCUGAAGACAUGUAGGCGAAGAUCCUUCUUUUACUCUGGAGAUGCUGGCACCUGCGAGAUGAUUGCGUUCAUGGCAAAGGA
This 264-nucleotide ribosomal RNA is filed under the name Triticum aestivum (bread wheat). Its description in RNAcentral is "partial small subunit ribosomal RNA". The record is from RNAcentral. Lineage: Eukaryota; Viridiplantae; Streptophyta; Magnoliopsida; Poales; Poaceae.